AUGCUGACAAAUAAAUUUGAGAAAGAACUUCAGGAAUUAUCAAAGCUUCUUCAAGACAGAAACUCUACAAUGGAGAAAUGUUUCCAGCAAGAGAAAGAGGCGUUUAUGAAACAGCACGAAGAAGACUUGGAGAAAAUAGCAGAGUUGCAGAAGUGCAGAGAGCAGCUGGAGGCAGGUCUCAAGGAGAAAGAAGAGACACUUGAAGCUGUCAUGACCAGGCUGCAGGAUGCCCAGAAUGAGCUUCAAAGAGAGGUGGGGAGAGCAUGUGAGAUCACCCUGUGGCAACUGGCCAAAGGCACAAAGGCAUUUGCAGAGGCUGCACUCCUGUCUUUGGACUGUGAGGGAAGCUUCUGUGAUGCUCAUACUUUUAAAUUUUAG
RNAcentral lists this long non-coding RNA (378 nucleotides) under Struthio camelus australis. RNAcentral describes it as "lncRNA (ENSSCUG00000016428.1)". Lineage: Eukaryota; Metazoa; Chordata; Aves; Struthioniformes; Struthionidae. The record is from RNAcentral.